AAAAAAAAAAAAGAAAAAAAAAACCCGGAAGUAAGCUCGAACCGAAACACCGUAUAUUCGUCUCGUCUUGUGGCUGAAAGUGCCUCCUCACCUGGCCAACUCAACAAUGGGCCUGAGGCGUUGUCGAGUUUGCCACAUCAAUCAAACCUGCAGUAAGGCUGUCUACUGGAAUCGGCAGAGGAAGGUAGUUGGCAACCCUGGAGAGUGAACACAUGAAUUAAAUGGCUCGUCUUUACCAAGCACAAGAAUGCAGUCUUAAGGGAUUAACCUUGUUGGUGGUUUUGGACCUCCAGAAGAGUUUACCCAGAUCUUGCCUGAUACACUCCAACAUGAUGUGACCCGUGCCCUGGCCCUGCUCAGUGCUGCUCACCACCAACUUAUCAAGGGCAAACCAAAGGAAUCAUCCCGCAGUUCAGACUCCAUUGGAGAAGACUGGUAUCAACGGUUACAGAUGGUAGAGCGCUAGGAAGAAAAGAAGAAAAGAUGUGAGAAAGAAGAAAAAUAAAGAAUUUAUACAAUUCUU
This is a long non-coding RNA of Nerophis ophidion (straightnose pipefish), 523 nucleotides long. RefSeq lists it as uncharacterized. NCBI's taxonomy places the organism in Eukaryota, Metazoa, Chordata, Actinopteri, Syngnathiformes, Syngnathidae. The record is from RefSeq and is a predicted model, not a curated record. The transcript has 5 exons.